This is a long non-coding RNA of Pseudomyrmex gracilis, 430 nucleotides long. RefSeq lists it as uncharacterized. Lineage: Eukaryota; Metazoa; Arthropoda; Insecta; Hymenoptera; Formicidae. The record is from RefSeq and is a predicted model, not a curated record. The transcript has 3 exons.
AAUUGGUAUGGAUAUAAUUGUGCAAACAAGUGCGGUUUAUGCAAAUCUUUUGAAUGUAACAAAGUAACUGGAGAAUGUAUCAACGGAUGUGUUAAUAACUUGAAAAUAUUUUACCUGCCACCAUUGUGUCAUAUAGGCUUAGAUAAGCUCACAGAACCUGAAAUUGUCUCUAUCACUUCAACAAGCAUCCGAAUUAAACAUUCUAUAAUGUGGAAAGAGGAAUAUGAAAAAAUACAAAUAACUUAUUCGUUNGCUAUUACGGGAGAAAAUGAUUAUAUUUUUACGCAGUCAUGGAAUAGACUGUUUCAAAAUAUGACAUAUUUGAUCGGAUACUUCAACAAUUUAAAUUCUGGUUCUGUUUAUUCAGUCAAAUGUAUAUUACUUGCAGAGAAUGAAAUAAUUGAAAACAAAUGGCAAAGUGUGGAAACUG